GGAACAGAGAAGAGGGCAAGCUGAGCCUCAGUCCAGUUUCCUGGACUCCCUCCGGUAGGGAAGUGUCCCCUAAAUCUCCGUUCCCUCGCCCUCUGUCGCCCUCUAGUGCCCCCACGCUGCCAACACCCUUGUUUUUGUUCCUUUGGCUUUCAUUCUUUCAUCCACAAACCCUUCAGAGGCGGCUACACCAGUGUGGGGGUCGGGAUGCAGGGAAUAGACGCUGAGCCUGCCUCGGACUCUCAGGGCUUCGGAGAGGGAUAGAUAUGUCUACGAGCGUCCUUCUGCGACGAGAGUCUGGAGCCCCAAGCAGGUGCCCAGAGGAAUGCAGAGGAGGUGGCAGCAGGUACAUCCGGGCAUCUGCACAGCUCCACGGAGUAGGACGUGGCCAAGCGGAUGGGGAGGGCCUGCGCAAUGAACUCACUCGAGCUGUGAAGAUGGAGAGGCCUGGGAGGCGUCUUUGACAGCUAUGGACUGAGAUCUCAUGUAGCAUAGGCUGGCUUGGAAUUAGAAUUCAGUAUGCAGCGCCAGAUGACCUUAGACUCAGACCUUGGACUCAAGAUCCUCCAACUGCCACCUCUUAAGUGCUGGGAUUACUAACAUGCACCACCAUGCCCAGCUUGUUUUAUUUUUAGACAAAGUUUCACAAGACUUCCUUGAACUUAAGAUCCUCUUGCCUCAGUCUCCUGAAUGCUGGGAUUACAGGUGUGUACUAUGUUUGGUAUAAUCUCAAUUUUUAGCAUUAAACAUGACACUAAAUCCUUGAUACUGUUGAUUGAGGAAUGAGGGAUUAGCCUCACUAAGGGCCAAUCAGGGAGUUCCAGGUGCUAGAGGGAUCUGAACUGAGUUCAUUCAGCUGUCUCUUUGGCUCCUUCAGGGUAUCUUACUGUCACAGAUAAUAAAACAUGAUUGCAUUUG
Molecule: non-coding RNA, 915 nt
Organism: Cricetulus griseus (Chinese hamster)
Lineage: Eukaryota; Metazoa; Chordata; Mammalia; Rodentia; Cricetidae
Source: RefSeq, a predicted model, not a curated record